Molecule: long non-coding RNA, 497 nt
Filed under: Zostera marina
Lineage: Eukaryota; Viridiplantae; Streptophyta; Magnoliopsida; Alismatales; Zosteraceae
Description: long non-coding RNA (ZMAR_LNC002173)
Source: RNAcentral
UUUUAUUUUUUUCGAUUUAUUAAUUUGAUUUAGGGUUGAUAAAAUAACGAUGUUUUUUUAAUAUUUUUUUUUAAUUUACAGGUUGAUGAUAAGGUUAACGACGCAGUCGAGAAAGCGAUGACUCGUCAAAAUGAAUUAGCGAUGUUUCGUCAAAUGACAUUCUUCCAACAAUACAAUAACGCUCUUCUCGCUCAGAAUCCUAACUUGCGCUUACCGAAAUUUCCCUCAAUAUUCAACGACACUACGGCGCAACCGGAUCAAAUGGCCGGGUUCAACUUUAAUUCAUCUAGAGCGUCGACGUCACGAGCACCACCAAUACUACAGCAGACUCCUCCUCAACCAACGAUGCAAGCAGAGGAUCAGACUCCACAAUGUCGCGGAGGACGACCCAUUAUUUUUCCAAGAUCCCAGUUAACAUAGACGCUCGCAUUUAAAAAGAAAAAGAACAAUAACAACAAGCGACAAAAUAGAAAUUAGGAUAGUUAGUGACUCUUUUU